RNAcentral lists this ribosomal RNA (451 nucleotides) under uncultured bacterium. Its description in RNAcentral is "bacterial SSU rRNA". It matches the Rfam family "Bacterial small subunit ribosomal RNA", at positions 354 to 796 of the family's 1533-position model. The record is from RNAcentral.
GUGGGGAAUAUUGGGCAAUGGGCGCAAGCCUGACCCAGCGACGCCGCGUGGGUGAUGAAGGCCUUCGGGUCGUAAAACCCUGUCAUGUGGGACGAAAGGUCCGGGCUCUAACAUAGCCUGGGCUUGACGGUACCGCAGGAGGAAGCCCCGGCCAACUCCGUGCCAGCAGCCGCGGUAAUACGGAGGGGGCGAGCGUUAUUCGGAAUCAUUGGGCGUAAAGGGCAGGUAGGCGGCCGCGUGUGUCCUCUGUGAAAGCCCUCGGCUCAACCGAGGAAUUGCAGGGGAAACUACAUGGCUUGAGUCCGGGAGAGGAGAGUGGAAUUCCCAGUGUAGCGGUGAAAUGCGUAGAUAUUGGGAGGAACACCGGUGGCGAAGGCGGCUCUCUGGACCGGUACUGACGCUGAGCUGCGAAAGCUAGGGGAGCAAACGGGAUUAGAUACCCUUGUAGUCC